This 468-nucleotide ribosomal RNA is filed under the name uncultured bacterium. Its description in RNAcentral is "partial 16S ribosomal RNA". It matches the Rfam family "Bacterial small subunit ribosomal RNA", at positions 28 to 507 of the family's 1533-position model. The record is from RNAcentral.
GACGAACGCUGGCGGCGUGCUUAACACAUGCAAGUCGAACGGAAAGGCCCUGCUUUUGUGGGGUGCUCGAGUGGCGAACGGGUGAGUAACACGUGAGUAACCUGCCCUUGACUUUGGGAUAACUUCAGGAAACUGGGGCUAAUACCGGAUAGGAGCUCCUGCUGCAUGGUGGGGGUUGGAAAGUUUCGGCGGUUGGGGAUGGACUCGGGGCUUAUCAGCUUGUUGGUGGGGUAGUGGCUUACCAAGGCUUUGACGGGUAGCCGGCCUGAGCGGGUGACCGGCCACAUUGGGACUGAGAUACGGCCCAGACUCCUACGGGGGGCAGCAGUGGGGAAUAUUGCACAAUGGGCGGAAGCCUGAUGCAGCAACGCCGCGUGCGGGAUGACGGCCUUCGGGUUGUAAACCGCUUUCGCCUGUGACGAAGCGUGAGUGACGGUAAUGGGUAAAGAAGCACCGGCUAACUACGUG